AGAGUUUGAUCAUGGCUCAGAUUGAACGCUGGCGGUAUGCUUAACACAUGCAAGUCGAACGGUAACAGUCCCUCACCUAGAAAUUUCUUAAAAAGAGAUUUGUAGGUGAGGGAGCUGACGAGUGGCGGACGGGUGCGUAAUGUAUAGGAAUCUGCCCGGUAGUGGGGGACAACUCGGAGAAAUUCGGGCUAAUACCGCAUAAGCCCUACGGGGGAAAACGGGGGAUCUUCGGACCUCGUGCUAUUAGAUGAGCCUAUAUUAGAUUAGCUUGUUGGUGAGGUAAUGGCUUACCAAGGCGACGAUCUAUAGCUGGUCUGAGAGGAUGAUCAGCCACACUGGGACUGAGACACGGCCCAGACUCCUACGGGAGGCAGCAGUGGGGAAUAUUGGACAAUGGGCGAAAGCCUGAUCCAGCAAUACCGCGUGUGUGAAGAAGGCCUGAGGGUUGUAAAGCACUUUCAAUUGGGAGGAAUACCUAAUAGUUAAUAGCUAUUAGAUUGAC
This 502-nucleotide ribosomal RNA is filed under the name uncultured bacterium. RNAcentral describes it as "bacterial SSU rRNA". It matches the Rfam family "Bacterial small subunit ribosomal RNA", at positions 8 to 473 of the family's 1533-position model. The record is from RNAcentral.